GAGCUCUCUUCACUCCAUUUCUGAAAGGAGGUGAUAGGUAUGCCAUGGCUAGCAGGUUCAUGAUUACCCCUAGCCAUUAGUCGAGUUUGAAGAGCGUAGGCUACGGGUUCGCAUGAGUCUGGGAGGCAUGGCUACUCUGAUCUUUUUGGCAUUGGAGUGAAGGGAGCUCGA
RNAcentral lists this microRNA precursor (171 nucleotides) under Linum usitatissimum (flax). Its description in RNAcentral is "miR159a stem-loop (lus-MIR159a)". Its record names the gene lus-MIR159a. It matches the Rfam family "MIR159 microRNA precursor family", at positions 13 to 182 of the family's 196-position model. Lineage: Eukaryota; Viridiplantae; Streptophyta; Magnoliopsida; Malpighiales; Linaceae. The record is from miRBase by way of RNAcentral.